Long non-coding RNA from Chroicocephalus ridibundus (black-headed gull), 1087 nucleotides. RefSeq lists it as uncharacterized. The record is from RefSeq and is a predicted model, not a curated record. NCBI's taxonomy places the organism in Eukaryota, Metazoa, Chordata, Aves, Charadriiformes, Laridae. The transcript has 3 exons.
CGGGAACGGGCGGCGGCCGGUGUGGCGGGUCCGUGACAGUGACAGUGGCAGUGCCGGGGCCCCUACUUGGGACGCAAUCCUUCCUUUUGUGAUCCAUCAGCAGCUGAAGCAUUCCUGAAAGGAAACCGGUUGAACGGUUUGGCAAGAGUGAGUUGAGCCCUCCAUCGUUUUCAGAAAAGGCGUAUUCUCACACAAACCCAAAACAAAGCAACUCCUGUAAUCUGAACACUCCCAUGUGAUAGCAAGUGACAUGAAACUAAGGAGAGAAUGAAGAGCUUUCUACAGGUCAGUGCUUUUUCCAAACCCAAGGGAGACAACCACAUCCAGAUGACUUUUUCCAGCAUGACUUUAGUUAAGAACUAAGCAUCCCAAUGCCAUUAAAUCAGUUUGAGUCUGAAAGUCUGAGCGCCAGACUAGCAAAAGAUAGCUAGGGAGUUAAAUUUAGGCAGGUUAGAUGCCCUUCUCCCUUUAAUUUCCUCCCAGGGCUUUCUCUGGUGGAAAACGACAGGAAGAAACAAGACAUUGAAGAAGCUGUUGUGACACACAAGUCCCCAAAACACUUUAGACAUGACUGAUACGGCUGGGGGAUUUUCUUCUGUUUUGCUGACAUGGUUGGAAAUCUGCAAAAGCAACAUCUUACAUCUCUCUCAGGGGAAUGCAGCAGUAGAAAGACAUCUCAGAUGGUACCACAUCUGCAGAUCACUGUAGACCCACAGAAUCUUCCUGGUUGCCUCUAAAGAUCUUGCCGAUCACAAGGUGUUGGCACCUCUCUCUUCAGUUGCUAAGUUGUUGUUACAAGGCAGCUAAAACAUAUUAAAUACUUUCCUAAAAUUAUUUUUCCGUGCAGGCAGUUGCUGUGUCUGGCACAAAGAUGUUAUAUGAUCAUUAAUGGGAAGUGAUACUGAUCCAGUUUCUCUUCAAAAUAUGGCCAGCUGUAUUUGAGAACUCCUGCUUUAAAUAUGUUUGGUUGUGUGUGUGUGCACAGACUGGUUUGGUGUUCUUCACCUCCUGACACUGGCACUUUUGCUGUGCAUAGCUGAGAUUCUUGCAUAAUUUAACAGAACCAUCUCAGGUGUCUCCCACUCUA